UACGUAGGGGGCUAGCGUUGUCCGGAAUUACUGGGCGUAAAGAGCUCGUAGGUGGUUUGUCGCGUUGUUCGUGAAAACUCACAGCUCAACUGUGGGCGUGCGGGCGAUACGGGCAGACUUGAGUACUGCAGGGGAGACUGGAAUUCCGGGUGUAGCGGUGAAAUGCGCAGAUAUCCGGAGGAACACCGGUGGCGAAGGCGGCCUCCUGGACCGACACUGACGCUGAGGCGCGAAAGCUAGGGGAGCAAACGGG
RNAcentral lists this ribosomal RNA (253 nucleotides) under uncultured bacterium. RNAcentral describes it as "partial 16S ribosomal RNA". It matches the Rfam family "Bacterial small subunit ribosomal RNA", at positions 524 to 776 of the family's 1533-position model. The record is from RNAcentral.